RNAcentral lists this ribosomal RNA (102 nucleotides) under Escherichia coli. Its description in RNAcentral is "partial 16S ribosomal RNA". It matches the Rfam family "Bacterial small subunit ribosomal RNA", at positions 1442 to 1533 of the family's 1533-position model. The record is from RNAcentral. Lineage: Bacteria; Pseudomonadati; Pseudomonadota; Gammaproteobacteria; Enterobacterales; Enterobacteriaceae.
GCGGGAGGGCGCUUACCACUUUGUGAUUCAUGACUGGGGUGAAGUCGUAACAAGGUAACCGUAGGGGAACCUGCGGUUGGAUCACCUCCUUACCUUAAAGAA